Molecule: transfer RNA, 70 nt
Filed under: Aulacus sinensis
Lineage: Eukaryota; Metazoa; Arthropoda; Insecta; Hymenoptera; Aulacidae
Description: tRNA-Lys
Source: RNAcentral
UUUUAGAUGUCUGAAAUUAAGUAAUGAUUUUUUAAAUCAUUUAUAGUAAAUAUAAUAUUACUUCUAAAAU